Non-coding RNA from Theobroma cacao (cacao), 629 nucleotides. NCBI's taxonomy places the organism in Eukaryota, Viridiplantae, Streptophyta, Magnoliopsida, Malvales, Malvaceae. The record is from RefSeq and is a predicted model, not a curated record.
UCUUUAUAUAAGAAAAGAGGCAUUAAUCAACCUGUAAUUAUUCUUUCAGAAACCGCAGGGAAAGAAAUAUGAUAUGGAUUUUAGUUGUAAUAAAACAGAACAAUUUUGGCUGUAUUCUUCGAAGGGGAAAUUAACUAUAUAUUAGUUUUUCUUUCAAACAAUUCCCUCUUUCAUUUCGAUUCUUGUUCAAUCGAACAGGAAAUAAAGAGUUCCCUGUAGAAAUACAACCUGAGACAUGCAAAAAGUGCUCAAAAAACAGCAGCAACCCUCAGGCAAUACAAAGCAAAAGCAGGGGAUUCAAUCAACAACAAUUAUUUGAGAGAAAGAGCACCUUUACAUUGAAGUAUAGACACAGUUAAGAAUGCACAUGAAGGAAAUAUAUAAUACGAAAAUCACUCUGGGAGAAGAAGAGCUUCAUUGACUGUGUCUUCUCUGAGAAAGACGUGUAGGAAAUAUUAUUAAAUAAUACUUUUGAAAGCUACGCAAUAUUCCUCGCAAUUGCUUCCAGAGCAGACCGUACCUCCCAAGCCAAUGGAAUUACAAUCUUCUGUACAAUCCCAUUGUCCUACAUCAUUAUAAUUAUGACCAAACGAUGUGAAAUAAGCGUUGAGCAAAUUGACUCUUAAGCU